Molecule: ribosomal RNA, 473 nt
Filed under: uncultured bacterium
Lineage: Bacteria
Description: SSU rRNA
Rfam family: Bacterial small subunit ribosomal RNA
Source: RNAcentral
AGGAUAAACGCUGGCAGCGUGCAUGAGACAUGCAAGUCGAACGGAUGAGUCGGGCUUGCUCGACUCGUUAGUGGCGAACGGCUGAGUAACGCGUGGGUGACCUGCCCCGAAGUGGGGAAUAACUGCCCGAAAGGGUGGCUAAUACCGCAUGUGGUCGUACGUUCACUCGUACGAGUAAAGCCGCAAGGCGCUUCGGGAGGGGCCUGCGUCCGAUUAGCUCGUUGGUGGGGUAACGGCUCACCAAGGCGACGAUCGGUAGGUGGUCUGAGAGGACGAUCACCCAGACUGGGACUGAGACACGGCCCAGACUCCUACGGGAGGCAGCAGUCGGGAAUUUUGCUCAAUGGGCGAAAGCCUGAAGCAGCAACGCCGCGUGAGGGAUGAAGGCCUUCGGGUUGUAAACCUCUUUUGUCAGGGAAGAUUAUGACGGUACCUGGCGAAUAAGCCACGGCUAACUACGUGCCAGCAGCCGC